AAUAAUUAUAGUUUUGCACUAUUUACGUUCAACGUUUGACCGUCUAUCUUAUUUAAAAUUUUUUUAUGAUUAGUAUUUUUAUUGCUAUUAGAUGAUAAAACAUGAAUAGUACUUUAUGUGUGACUAAAUGUUUUUAAUUUUUUCACAAAAUUUUCAAAUAAGACGGACGGUCAAACGUUGAACGUGAAUAGUGCAAAACUACACUUAUU
Oryza sativa Indica Group (long-grained rice) is the source of this 209-nucleotide microRNA precursor. It matches the Rfam family "MIR812 microRNA precursor family". NCBI's taxonomy places the organism in Eukaryota, Viridiplantae, Streptophyta, Magnoliopsida, Poales, Poaceae. The record is from Rfam.